This 460-nucleotide ribosomal RNA is filed under the name uncultured bacterium. RNAcentral's name for it is "partial 16S ribosomal RNA". It matches the Rfam family "Bacterial small subunit ribosomal RNA", at positions 338 to 795 of the family's 1533-position model. The record is from RNAcentral.
CCUACGGGAGGCAGCAGUGAGGAAUAUUGGUCAAUGGACGAGAGUCUGAACCAGCCAAGUAGCGUGAAGGAUGACUGCCCUAUGGGUUGUAAACUUCUUUUAUAUGGGAAUAAAAUGUUCCACGUGUGGGAUUUUGUAUGUACCAUAUGAAUAAGGAUCGGCUAACUCCGUGCCAGCAGCCGCGGUACUACGGAGGAUCCGAGCGUUAUCCGGAUUUAUUGGGUUUAAAGGGAGCGUAGGUGGAUUGUUAAGUCAGUUGUGAAAGUUUGCGGCUCAACCGUAAAAUUGCAGUUGAAACUGGCAGUCUUGAGUACAGUAGAGGUGGGCGGAAUUCGUGGUGUAGCGGUGAAAUGCUUAGAUAUCACGAAGAACUCCGAUUGCGAAGGCAGUUCACUGGACUGCAACUGACACUGAGGCUCGAAAGUGUGGGUAUCAAACAGGAUUAGAUACCCCUGUAGUC